AACAUACCUAUCCGUUGUUGGGUCAAAAUGUCCCACCUCCCACCUCCCAUGAUUUGCUAACCUCCCCGUACCCACCUUCACAGUAUCCACAGAAAAAAAUCUCCACAUUAUCUCAACCUCCUCCGUCCAAGAAGCACGCCGCCAAGCAAAUCUCUUCUCUCCGUGACCACAACGUUGCCGCCGCCGCCACCUCUGAUUCUGGCUUGCUCCGGCGCUUGUUGCGCCGCCGCUCACAGAAACGGCUACUCCUCACUGCCCUCCCCUUGAUCCCCCGCCAUGGCGACUUCCUCCGCGCCCCUACAUGCGGGCCACAGCAACCCUAGUUACCAUAGGUCGCCAGCGGCCGCGCCUCAUCCGCUUUGUCACCCUACAGCCCCGCGCUACGUCUCUGCACGCGCCGCUCCAAGCUCGGCCAUGGUGGUGCUGAUCCGCCUCAGCAAUCUUGACUCCGACGCCGCUGACGAUUCAGCAAGACUCUCCUCCUCUGACCCGCUCUUCUCUUACACUAUUUGGUUCUUUCUGUGGCAGGUCAUGGCGAAUUCUUUGCCGCCCAAUCUGACGACAAUCGACGCUACCUUGAUUACUCAUCUUGAUCCACAUCCCAGCAACGACAUCAAUGUCGCUGCACUUGUUAAUCAGAGGAUGCCUAACAUGACAGUAAUGAUCUGCGUGGGGUGUUAAUCGGAGAGACGAGAUGGCUAUAUCUUUCAGAAUAUUUUCACUGGUGGCAUGUUCGUCUGCUGGAAGCAAUUCGCCUAGAGGGGAAAGGGCGUCCGUUGUACCGGAGUUACAGGUGUUGGCCUCUAGCUUGCUGUCAAAGACAUGCUCUUGCAGGGAACCAGAGCAAUGCUUUAAUUCUUGCGAACGCAUCAAUGCAAUGCAAGGGAUUUUUGUUGGUCUGCAGCAGCUUUGUGUAACAAAAUGCACACCUGAAUGUAAUAUGACACAAUCAGUUUCCAUUAUCUUAGUUCAAGUUUUCUAUUUGUGAGUGUGGCACCCCGAUCCGCAUGGAGCAGGAGGCCUUCGCACGUCAGCCCAGGAUUACGCCUGACGCACGACAGGUCCAUGAUACAGCAUUCCAGCCCUAAGGCUAUUUACAUGGCAGCGGAAGUCCAUAUAAAUGGCGGCGGAAGUCUUGGUUUGGCAGCGUCUUAUUAAGGCUGGGCUCCAUAACGCACAGGACUGGCAUGAUUACGACCUAGCACGACGGAACAAGCGAACGACCUACAAAACUGGCAUGACACGCCAGGUCAGUACAUUGAAUGUACUUGCAAGACAACCAAAUACAUAGCAUCCAAACAAACAGAAGACAAAGCAAGAACCAAGCAUAUGCAACAGUCUACAUCAACACAACUUCUAAGCAUGGCAUGAUAUUAACUAGAAUCAUAAUUCAAACUAGGCAUGAACAACAUCAUAGCAUCAACUAUCAUGGCAUAUCAAACUUACUUCUAUCAUAACAACAGCAAAGCAUAGCAUAUCAAAACGGGGCAUGGCAUCAUGAAACUAUGCUGAAAAUAAACUACCAGUUACCUCCCAUGAAGACAUGUUGUAAUAACCUUAUGCCACAAUCACUUACUCUGCCACGGCUCCUUGGAGCAUAAUCGUGACUUACCAAGACCUCGUUUCGGGGUCAUAUCAACACAUCAUCGUGACUUCUCAUGAUUAUUUCAUAGUCCAAGCCAUCACAUUAGUUAUCACAUCUUAGUUAUCACAUAAUUUAUUAGCUGAUUUAUCCUCCAUUUCGACCGAGACCCGAUAGUGUGACCUACUACGAACCUGUGCCCAUGACCGAGGAUGCGGCUAUCGAUAGAUUGAAUACACUCUGCAGAGGUAGCGCACUUUACCCACACUACGGAACCCUGGUCUCGCGCUCACAUACGUGCGGACCAAAGCGUUCCGACAAAACUGAUCUACUGCCAUGACGCCCUCCCGGCCACUCCGACCAACACCCAUUAAGGGUUCGGUCCUGGGUGGCCCCGUACCUACCAAAGGUACCAACGGCCACCGUCGUGGCAAAACGGUCCCAAAUGGGGACAUGAGCUCAAAACCAAACCCGGGCACACAAGGCUUAUGUCCACCUGCCUGAUCAGGGUAAGCGUGCCCAUAACCUUCCCUCGCGGGAGGCACCGGCGAGAGGCAUGACAAUAGACCCAGCUAGGACCUUCCGACAAGGUAAAUGUGGUUGCACUGGAGAAAGCUCGAUUUGGUGGCACUAUGAUAUCCCAGUGAUGGCGGAGGAGGUUUGUUAUUAAGUCAUAUUAUUAACUUCUCCACCAUCAUCAACAUUAUGAGCAUAUUAAACAAGAAUGCAACAAUGAACAUGCAACUAACAAAUGCAUUAACAAAUAUCAAGCUACUCCAGUGAACAGUUAUAGCAUAUGAAACAUAACAAUACUAGAUACUAGCUUAUUGAAGGUGCAACAAAAUCAUCAUAACAUCAAGACUACUGGCAUGAACUAAACUAGACAGAGGCAUGAUAUUAUCAACAACAAUAUAACUAGCAUGGCAAAAGCUAUCAUGAGAGGUAAGCAAGCAGUACUAACAUAUAUCACAACUGAAAUAACGGCAGACGAAACAGACAAAAACUACUGCAACUAAGCACACACGCGAGGUACCAGCAAAUUCAACAUGCGAGUUUGGGGCUCAUGAUAAGAGGUUGGCUUGCCUGGGGUCGAGGAUUACUCCGAAAAAAGUGCGAACGAUCGCGGAAAGAUUUGUCGGAAACAGUUCUCUCUCGGAGGGGGCUGUUUACGGGAAAGGGAAAAAUGGUCACUUUUAGAAUGUGCAAACAUGGUGAAAAUGAUUCCAUCAGAACGGGCUCGACGAAACGAAGACGUGGGCUUUGAAAUCACCUGAUUUGGAGCUACGGGUAAAAAGAUACGGAGGGUUGAAGCUCAAGGACCUAUCGGUGAAAUUUUUUCAGCAAACAGGCCCCUGGAGGAAAAACUGAACGUGCCUUUGGGCCGAAUACGUUUUCCGCACAGGGAAACGCAUUUUGAGCCGAAGUGCCCAGGGAAUACGUUUUCUGACUUGGAAAGCGUAUUCACGAGGAAUACGUUUCCAGAGUAGGGAAAUGGCUUCCGCGGGCGGGCGCGUCCACUUAUUCGACGUGAUUAGCGGGGCCACGCCUUCCUCUCACCGACAGGUGGGUCCCGUAAGGUGGGGCCCGCCUGGCCUGGCUUCUUCCUCCUGCGCGUACGCGCGCCUGGCCGAGGGAGACGCCCGCCUCCACUGCGAUUGCCGGCGGCUCCGGCCGCCUCAGACGACGGCCGACCUAUCCACGAGCUCAGGAGCAAGAGGCGCAUCCCGUGGUGGUGUCCGUUGCCGGCGAGGAGCACGGGAGAAGGAGCAGCAGGGCUCGCGGCAGAGGUGGUCUUCGGACUCCAGCGAACAGGGGGCUCCGGUGGGGGAACUAGGUGGGCAAGGCUACGGGGAGGUGCGCCGGACCUCGGGGAACGCAUAGGUGGUGGUGGAACGGCGAGGGGGGCACGGCAUUGCCGAGAUCGAGCAGAGCCUGAAACUGCGGCCAUGGCGAUGGUGGGGAUCGGAGAGCGACUCCGGGGACGAGUGAAGUGCUUGGGGAGGCUUGAGGACUGCGAGGGAGCUCGGGACGGGCUUAAAUAGCCGCGGGGAUGUGCUCUAGGGGAGGGGAGGAGGUGACACGCGGCACGGCUACGUGUCCGCGCGCCGGCGACAUGCAUGCACGGCCAAAGGCCACGGGAAACGAUGGUGACACGACGAGGGGGAUGCGGACGACGCGCAGGGGCUCACGGAGACGAGGGGCGCUCGCGGAUGAGAGGGAGAAGGGGACAAGAACGAGGAAGACGACGGUGCACGGGCGUGCACUGUGCUCAGCGACGGCGAUGGCUCAACGAGGAAGCAAACGAAGGGGGAAACGGGCCAAGGCGCACGGCGACGAUGAGGCUGAGCUGGUUGACAAGCUUGGACAAGCCAGAGCUAGCCGGAGAUGCACUACUGUGGCCAGCAGUGGCUAGACCACCGAUUUGGCUGGCACUGCCCGUGGUCACCACCGACAACGCAUAAUCUGGUCGUCUACUUGGUGCCAAAUGAUGUCUACAGCGUAGUCCCUCCAACGCUCAUUAAGACUGAAGUGAUGGAACGAGCAAAGGUGUAGUGAGCAGAGGGAAACAGGCUCGACAAGUUUGCUGUUGCAAACUUGGCAACAUCCUGGCGAUCAACACAGAAAGGUUAAGGGCAAAACUGGUCGUCUAGGAGGUUUAGUAUAGCAAGGACUACGGUCCUGGAAAGUUGGAAGGGAUUUGGGCAAGGAUUUAGCAUAGCUGCAGUUCAAAUGCCAAAUCUGACCCAGAAAGCAAAUGAUGAAGAAGCACUCACUAGGAGUGAUGGAUUGGGCUAAAACUUGGCAAAGCUUCCUUAUUUGGUCAUAUGUAGAUGCUGCAAAAAUAUCAUACCAAAUGGACUUGCCAAAUUGGUACUUGUUUCACAAGCAUCAGAUCUCACCAGAAAUUUGGAAAAAUCCAGGAAAAUACUGGCUACAUGAAAUGAGCCAAAAUUGGUUGGAGAUAGGUUGUAUGGAGAGGAGAAGGCUUAGGAAUAUUUUCAGCCAUAAUGGAGCAAGAUAAAAUAGACUUGCUUCACAAACUGAAAAUUUGGACAGAAACCAAGAAUUGCUCCUAUGUUCACAUAGUUCAAUGAAUUGAACUGAAUUUAGGUGGAGGCUAAUGAUUUGGAAUACUUGAGAGGAUGAAAAAGUUUCAUCCCAUUUGAAAACUCUAUGAAGGUACUUCCUUCACAAAGUUACAUUCUGGUCAGAAACUUUGGAAAAUGGCAUAGGGAGCUAAGAUGAAUGGAUUGAGCUCAUCUUUGGUAUUCAUGUGUGAUUUAUGAAGGUUAAUCACCCUACCAAAUUGCAGCUCAAUUGGAAUUAGGAAUAAAGCACUUCCUUUGCAAAAUUUCAGAGAAGGCAGAAACUUGCAUUGGAUCAUGUGCCAAAAUUUUGAACUAUGGAACAUGGAACAAGGAUGGAACUUGUGAUUAUAUAGCAAGGGCAAGCUCCACAAUUUAUGUGAGAAUUUUCCCUACUAUAAAAAUAGUAGUUCCUUUAGGAAGUGGCAGAAAUGCAAUAUUGGUAUUAAAUAGUAAAAGGCAUUUUUCCAUAUUUAAUUAUGGCCAAUAUCUUUGCCAUAGCUUGGAUUAGACAUAAAUAUCAACUCCACCAAUUCUCAUGAAUCUUGGAGAUGGCUAGAUAUGCCUUUGAAUUUUAUCCCUCGGAAAGGCAAGAAAAGGAAUAAAUCAUAAUUCAAAAAUAUUGCAUGGGACUUGGCAAUAUUUUUGCAUAUCCAAGGUUUACAAGGAUAGGAGGUUCUCAGGGAACAGAUGGGAUGAUCAACAGAUCAAGGAAAAUGAUAGCUCCUUUGUAAUCACAAAGGCCAUCUUUAAAUUCCAACAAUUUGGAAUUAGGGUUUGAGAGGGUUUGAGCUGAGGCAAAUGAGGUCUUGCCCACUGAAAAAGACAUGAGCAAGGUUUUGAAAGGUUGGAAAUGGCAAAAAUUUCUCAGAGUCAUCCAGCAAACUCAGGAGAAAAUUUUGAAAAUGAGUGCCAGGAAGGAAUAACAACUCAAAAAUUGAUAACCCAAUUUUGGGGCUGUUACAAACCUUCCGCCCUUAAAAAGAAUCUCGUCCUCGAGAUUCCUAGGGUUACAGCACAAUUGCAAAGAUAACUACUCCGGGGAAAAGCCUCGGGGUUAAUUUUAACCCUUUGGUCGGAUUCGAACGAGUUGGGGCACCGAUAAGUGGUACACCCAGGGAGAGAUAUGGGCAAACACGGUUAUAUCCACGGGUACGGGCACUCGAGAUCAGACUCCCGAAAAAUGCUGGAUGCACCCCAAUGAACAGUGGUUUCACCUGCUGACACGUGGGUCCAGGGCCCACUGGCAGGCUCCUUCUACCUCCGGCUAGUUGCUUCUCCUAUGAUGCUGCUCCGCGUGUGGCUUGGCGCAGCGCGCAUCUAGCUCCUAGGGCGAUGAGGACCCUAGUGUCGUAGUGCGCGGCGUGCACGACACUGGUGCAGCGAGCACUCAUGUCGCGGGCCAGCACCAUGUCGGUACUGCUCGCGGAUUCGCCUCCUGGACGCCAGUGAUCGAGCGACGAGCGGUUUUCCUGGACCUCGCUCAUCGUACACCGGAGUUGGGCUAUAAAAACGGCAGCGCGACUCUCCUCCAAUGCACAAACACAAUGCCGCUCUACUACCUAUUCGGUUUGGACGAAAUCGAGCCGAGCUCCUUCGGCGAGGUUGUGUUCCUGGUGGCGUUGCGGUGGUUCCUAGCUGCACUGCUGGGCACUCUGAUUGGCUCGUCGAUCAUCCUGCUGAUGAUCAUCAUGUAUGAGCGAGCUCGAGGCAACGCGCGGCCAGCUGCGGUGGCUCGAGGUGUGGAAGAAGAUGGUGCACGGGGUGGUCCUCUGCCACGCUUGAUCCUCCAUCGUGUUGCGCCGGCGGAGUAAUCGCGUGCUGCGGUGGAACGGUGGUGGCGAUCUACCUGCGCCACUCAAGGCGGUGACGGUGGUGAUGGUUUGGUUCGGAUGCGGGUGAGGGGGAUGUGCCAGCUCAGGAAUCAGACUAGGACACGGGAAAAUUUCGCGGAUUGCUCCACGAAAUGUAGGUGUCAGGGUAGAGGCGGAGUUGAAAUAUGUAUCGGGGGGUUGUACUAGAUCGAGUGAAAUAAAGCUGGCAACGUUUCUCCUAAAAUGCAAUUGGGUUAACGAAAAAGAAUUAGGGACGAGAAAUGGCCAAAUGAAAAUGCCUCUUCGAGGCGCUGUGUUUGGAAAAUCUGGCACACGGGGUAUGCACAGAUAGAGAUAGGGAUGUGACUUUGCGUUUUCCCCGAGUACUGCCCUAAAUGCACUCGUGGGUGAACCGGGUAUGUGUGCAGUAUGCAAUGCAGUCUAAACUAACAACACACAGGUGCAAUAAACAUGCAAUGAAAAACACAUCAGACAAAUAAUACUAAGGUGUUUUAAUGCUAGUGGGUAUAUGUACUCCUGGCAUACAUAUACCUACACCAGCGCGCAUUUUAUUAAAGACUUGGGACGAGCCAAUGUUAUUUAGUGUAUGUGAUCUACUGAUUAAAAUCUCGUUAGCACACAUUGCCAACCCUGUCAAACAUCUCUGUUUGACGGAGAGACAAACAAAAACAAGCACAAAAAUUCAAAAGCAAGCAAGCAUACACAAACACAUUACGGGUUACAAACAGUACAACAAAGCACGAACGCUCUACGCGCUAAACGAAACUACUCACUCCAGGAUACAUAGUUCUAUCCUCAUAUCGGAGAUGAACCGACUGACUGACCUACUCGCAGAGUCAUCUCACUGCGUGACUGAGGUCAUGCAGAGGACUGGCCUUGCUGGGGCUCUCCGGGAGGACAAAGACUGAGCCAAUCUCCAUCUUCAACGUCCGACACUACUAUGGGUUGGGGUUCGACUGCUGGAGGUGUGGCUAAAAUUGAUCCAAGCAGAUGCUGCUGAUGGAUCCAGAAAAGAGACUUGUCGAGGGUGAUGAUGUUGGGUCUAGGCCACAACACAGGCUAAGAGGGUAGCACUGGUUCGGAUGGCAUGGGGUGAACGGCUUGAGAUGCGAAUUUACGAGCCUCAUGGUAAGCUUCCUUAACAACUCGUACCGCAUCGUCGUCCAGGGUUCUAAAUUCGGCGAGCAUCUUAGAAAUCAUCAUCCCCUGGGCAGUGAUAUAUUGCACCAGGCGAGCGAUUGCGGGGUCAUCUCCUUGGAUAGUGGGAGAAGACUGAAUUCCUGCUUCUGUCACCACGGGGAAAAAGCAGAACUCCCGCCUCUCUGCCACUUGCGGGAUCUUGGUUUAGAGGUAUAGGAUAGCUUCCACAGCAGCGGCCUGAAUGGCUAAAUCAGAGGUAGGCGUGGCUCUACCCUGAAAAACCAAAGGCUAGCCAUCUACUGCGGGACCUAGGCUGAUGCGCACUCUUGCAUCAUAGCGGUGAAGGUGAGGGACGGCCGUCGAUUGGAACACCAGGUAAUCGGGGCUAGCCUUAUAGCCAAAGGCUUUGGUGAGCAUCUCGGUAAGAAGGGGUGGGAAGCCAGGGUGGUUGACGGCAAAGGUGCAGGUGUAAAACUUGGGAGCUUUGAAGGUGCUAGUCAUGGCUGGGGAGCUACUAGCUAAGCUUUUCUGCAGGGACAUGGCUGACUGAGGGGUGAGCGAUACGGCUAGCAGAAAGGGGGAUUUUAUAGGCGGCUAUGCGGGACAUGCCCGCAUGGUGUGGCCCCUUUUCCUUAAUGGUGAAGGGUACGCGGUGCGGCCGACCAGAAAGGAUAGGGUUGCUAUUCAAUCCACGUAUAACUAGGCGGGGACAGCGGGGUAAGGACGUGUUGGUCCCGACUGCGCCACCUGUAGAUUAACAGUGGCCAUGACGGAUGCCAGGGAUGGGUCAAAUCCCUUAGGGUCAUUAUGGGUUGAUGGUAGCGGUGAUCUAAUGCUAGGAUAACCUAUGCCAGCCUGGCUGCUCUGAUACCAUCUCCUGUGGCACCCUGAUCCGCAUGGAGCAGGGGGCCUUCGCACGUCAGCCCGGGAUUACGCCUGACGCACGACAGGUCCAUGAUACAGCAUUCCAGCCCUAAGGCUAUUUACAUGGCAGCGGAAGUCCAUAUAAAUGGCGGCGGAAGUCUUGGUUUGGCAGCGUCUUAUUAAGGCUGGGCUCCAUAACGCACAGGACUGGCAUGAUUACGACCUAGCACGACGGAACAAGCGAACGACCUACAAAACUGGCAUGACACGCCAGUGGCGCACUGCCAGUCAGUUCCAGUACUGAACAAUGGGCAGGGUGGUGGUCGUUCAUGCUAUAACAAUGUCAUAGAAGGCAUCCUCGGGAAGUUCAUAGAGAAGCUUGUCAUCCAGCAUGAAGGGUGAUGAAGACGAAGAUGAUGCAUGGCUAAGUUGUUGAUAGGAAAGGUGUAGAAUGGGGCUAAUACAAGAUAGUUUUAGAUUUACCUUAUACAAUGUCAUUUUCAUGCUUAAUAUGUAGGAGAUCAUGUACUAUCUUUUUCAGAUUGUGUUCCAUGUAAUGCAACCGAGUUGAUUAAAUAUAUGAAAUCUUUCUGUUUA
Molecule: long non-coding RNA, 9104 nt
Organism: Triticum aestivum (bread wheat)
Lineage: Eukaryota; Viridiplantae; Streptophyta; Magnoliopsida; Poales; Poaceae
Exons: 8
Source: RefSeq, a predicted model, not a curated record